This 325-nucleotide unclassified non-coding RNA is filed under the name Basidiobolus magnus. RNAcentral describes it as "partial internal transcribed spacer region". The stretch from base 1 to 46 matches the Rfam family "Eukaryotic small subunit ribosomal RNA", at positions 1786 to 1831 of the family's 1831-position model. Lineage: Eukaryota; Fungi; Basidiobolomycota; Basidiobolomycetes; Basidiobolales; Basidiobolaceae. The record is from RNAcentral.
AAGUCGUAACAAGGUUUCCGUAGGUGAACCUGCGGAAGGAUCAUUAACAAAUAUGUAAAACAUCCAUCCAUCCAUCCCACAAGGAUAUGGAUAUGUUAUUACCACAACACACACACACACAUUGUGCACACAACAAACACUGUUAUGCUUUGGUAGGGUAGGGGGAGAAAUGGCGGGCACUCUCGGGUGCCAGUCUUUCGAUCUGCCAGAGUUUUUUGUAUACUACAAAACGCACCCACACACACGAAUGUCUUAAUAUUAUCUGACUGAACUUGAUUUAAACAAAAUGAGAAUACAACUUUUAACAAUGGAUCUCUUGGCUCUU